Molecule: RNA transcript, 755 nt
Organism: Amphimedon queenslandica
Lineage: Eukaryota; Metazoa; Porifera; Demospongiae; Haplosclerida; Niphatidae
Gene name: eukaryotic translation initiation factor 3 subunit E-like
Exons: 6
Source: RefSeq, a predicted model, not a curated record
GCGAGCCUGAUUCAGUGAUUGUCUCCCUUCUCUUGCUUCUCUUCUCAAAAUGGAAGGCUCUGAUGGCAGCACUGGGAGUAGUGGGUCAUCCUCAAAAUGUUCAUUGUCACCUCCUUUAGAGUCGAAAGACCUUCCUUGUACUAGACGAGCCAUGUUUCUCAAAAUACAAUGUAUAUAGAUCUAAAUUUUUCCAAAGUAUUUCAAACACAACAACUUUGCAAGUUUUGUACAUCAGCUUAAUGAGACAUAUUCUUACAAUGAUCCAAUCACUGAACUGAUUGACUGUCUCUUUGUUAAGUAUGACUUCAACGCAGCACAAGACAGACUAAACGAGUGUGAAAAGCUGUUGGCCUCUCCAGAUCUCCUUCCAAUUAAUUCUUUUCCAUCAUCAUCAUCAUCAGUACCUCCUGGUGGGGCAGUUGGUGACGGAGACUUUCUAGAAGAACCCUUAACAUCCUCGCUGCCUCCAGUUUCUAUUCCAAUACUUAGGUACCAGUAUCUCAGUCUCAGCCCACUGAUGUGCAUGAACCACGACUGAAAACAAACCCAGAAAAUGUUCUAUCUGAAAUAACAAGCAGAUUGAGACUUUGAAGUCACAAGUUCUAAUAAAAUAAGCUUUGAUCCACUUCUACUAACUGAAGUACAUGAACAACUUUUAUUGCACUGUACAUGGUCCAAUUGCAUUAACUACACAUGUGCAUGUAUUUCUUUUCUUUGAUUUGUGAUUAUGAAACAAUGUUCAUGAUUUAACAACU